AACUAGCUGACGAGUCCCAAAUAGGACGAAAAUGCGCAUCCAGGU
This 45-nucleotide non-coding RNA is filed under the name Trichobilharzia regenti. Lineage: Eukaryota; Metazoa; Platyhelminthes; Trematoda; Strigeidida; Schistosomatidae. The record is from RNAcentral.